UGGCGGCGUGCCUAAUACAUGCAAGUAGAACGCUGAAGGAGGAGCUUGCUUCUCUGGAUGAGUUGCGAACGGGUGAGUAACGCGUAGGUAACCUGCCUGGUAGCGGGGGAUAACUAUUGGAAACGAUAGCUAAUACCGCAUAAGAGUAGAUGUUGCAUGACAUUUGCUUAAAAGGUGCAAUUGCAUCACUACCAGAUGGACCUGCGUUGUAUUAGCUAGUUGGUGAGGUAACGGCUCACCAAGGCAACGAUACAUAGCCGACCUGAGAGGGUGAUCGGCCACACUGGGACUGAGACACGGCCCAGACUCCUACGGGAGGCAGCAGUAGGGAAUCUUCGGCAAUGGACGGAAGUCUGACCGAGCAACGCCGCGUGAGUGAAGAAGGUUUUCGGAUCGUAAAGCUCUGUUGUAAGAGAAGAACGAGUGUGAGAGUGGAAAGUUCACACUGUGACGGUAUCUUACCAGAAAGGGACGGCUAACUACGUGCCAGCAGCCGCGGUAAUACGUAGGUCCCGAGCGUUGUCCGGAUUUAUUGGGCGUAAAGCGAGCGCAGGCGGUUAGAUAAGUCUGAAGUUAAAGGCUGUGGCUUAACCAUAGUACGCUUUGGAAACUGUUUAACUUGAGUGCAAGAGGGGAGAGUGGAAUUCCAUGUGUAGCGGUGAAAUGCGUAGAUAUAUGGAGGAACACCGGUGGCGAAAGCGGCUCUCUGGCUUGUAACUGACGCUGAGG
This 729-nucleotide ribosomal RNA is filed under the name uncultured Bacilli bacterium. Its description in RNAcentral is "bacterial SSU rRNA". It matches the Rfam family "Bacterial small subunit ribosomal RNA", at positions 37 to 751 of the family's 1533-position model. The record is from RNAcentral. Lineage: Bacteria; Bacillati; Bacillota; Bacilli.